CCAUUUCCAUUUCCCACCACCCACUUCUUGUAACAGUAAAAAAUGAAAUCUUUUUAGUGAGCGAAGCUGAAGCUCAGAGCUUUACACACAGGCAAAACCGAAACCACUCCGUUUUGCUUGAAUUCAAUCCCAUUCUCUCUCUCUCUCUCUCUCUAGAAAUGGAGCGCGCGAGGAAGCUAGCGAACCGUGCCAUCCUCCGCCGCCUCGUCUCCGAAUCGAAGCAGCAGCCAUUGCACAACCAAUCCUCGCGCUACGCCUCCUCCCUCUCCCCCAGCGUCGUGCAGGGCCGGAGCGCCGCCAAUGCCUCCGCCGCCAACCACCGCUUCUACUCUCGAAGCCUCGCCCAAUUCGUCGGCACCCGCUCCAUCUCCGUCGACGCCCUCAAGCCCAGCGACACCUUCCCGCGCCGCCACAACUCCGCCACGCCGGAGGACCAGUCCAAGAUGGCGGAGUUCGUCGGGUUCGAAACCCUAGAUUCCCUAAUCGACGCCACCGUCCCCAAAUCCAUCCGCGCGGGCGACAUGAAGUUUUCAAUCUUCGACGAGGGCUUGACGGAGGCGCAGAUGAUCGAGCACAUGAAGGAUUUAGCUUCG
This 593-nucleotide long non-coding RNA is filed under the name Salvia miltiorrhiza (redroot sage). RNAcentral describes it as "long non-coding RNA (SMIL_LNC007553)". Lineage: Eukaryota; Viridiplantae; Streptophyta; Magnoliopsida; Lamiales; Lamiaceae. The record is from RNAcentral.